AAACUUUACAAUGCGGGAAACCGUGAUAAGGGAACCCCGAGUGCCCGUAAAUUCGGGCUGUCCGCCAGUGUAAAAAACUGGUGAAGAAAGGGCCGGGCAAGACCGGUGCCAGCCGCCGCGGUAAUACCGGCGGCUCGAGUGGUGGCCACUAUUACUGGGCUUAAAGCGUCCGUAGCUGGAUUGUUAAGUCUCCUGGGAAAUCUGUCGGCUUAACCGACAGGCGUUCAGGGGAUACUGGCAAUCUAGGGACCGGGAGAGGUGAGAGGUACUCCAGGGGUAGGAGUGAAAUCCUGUAAUCCUUGGGGGACCACCUGUGGCGAAGGCGUCUCACCAGAACGGCUCCGACAGUGAGGGACGAAAGCUGGGGGAGCAAACCGG
RNAcentral lists this ribosomal RNA (378 nucleotides) under uncultured archaeon. Its description in RNAcentral is "bacterial SSU rRNA". It matches the Rfam family "Archaeal small subunit ribosomal RNA", at positions 345 to 727 of the family's 1478-position model. The record is from RNAcentral.